This 648-nucleotide ribosomal RNA is filed under the name Triticum aestivum (bread wheat). Its description in RNAcentral is "partial small subunit ribosomal RNA". The record is from RNAcentral. Lineage: Eukaryota; Viridiplantae; Streptophyta; Magnoliopsida; Poales; Poaceae.
AUGGAGGUUGUGUGGGGCGGUCGUAAAGUCUCCAAGCUCAUCGCCAGCUCCUUCUUCCUCUUGGGCACCGGCAGCAACGAUCUCUUCCAGACCAGACCAAAGUCCCAAGCUGAUGUUGCAGCGCUAUAUGCCACCCUCGCCUCAAACUACUCUGCCGCCAUCAUUGACCUGUAUGGGAUGGGAGCAAGGAUGUUUGGGAUCAUUAACACAGGUCCAGUAGGGUGUGUGCCACGGGUGCGUGUGUUGAACGCGACGGGGGCCUGCAACGAUGGAAUGAACCGUCUCGCUGCCAGGCUCGCCGCGGCGAUCAAGUCCGGCCUCGCCACCACGCUCACCACGACCAGGCUCCCAGGCCUCAAGUACUCCCUCGCCGACUCUUUCGCUGCCUCACGGGCCAACUUCGACAACCCCCAAGCAGCCGGGUUUGUGAACGCCGAUAGCGCGUGCUGCGGGAGCGGUAGGCUGGGCGCGGAGGGUAAGUGCAUAAGGAACGCGACACUGUGCAGUGAUCGUGAUGCAUAUGCUUUCUUUGACAACGUUCACCCCAGCCAGCGGGCUGCUGAGAUGAGUGCACAUGCGCUCUUCGUGGACGGCCCGACACAGGUCACCGCACCCAUCAGCUUCAAGGAGCUAGCACACGAGAGAUGA